RNAcentral lists this small RNA (1956 nucleotides) under Pan troglodytes (chimpanzee). RNAcentral describes it as "retained intron". Lineage: Eukaryota; Metazoa; Chordata; Mammalia; Primates; Hominidae. The record is from RNAcentral.
AGUCGCUAUGCGUGUGCUUGUGGGUGAGGGAGGGCAGAAAGGGAGAGUGCUGGGCGGGCUUAGUCGGAGAUUGAGGACUGGGAAUCCGCUUCCGGGAGGGCACUGUCUAGUGCACAGGCAACCUAGCCUUGGCCUCCUAGCCCGAGAAGCCGAAUCUCCCUAAUCCCUGUGACCUGUGUCACCUCUGCAUCGCGAGGAGGGGGAUAAGUGGGGAGAAGUCUGAUGUCAGAUGGGAUGGCGCCGGAAAAGGGUGCCACAGCGGGGACGGAAGGCGCCCCCACCCCAACUCCACGGGAAUAUAAACAAUUUGUAUUUUCCGAUCAGGUGGCGGGACAGGCUUCAUUGGGACAGCCCUAACCCAGCUGCUGAAUGCCAGAGGCCACGAAGUGACGUUGGUCUCCCGAAAACCCGGGCCCGGCCGGAUCACGUGGGUAAGUCCAUCCUCUGGAAGCGGGUGGGAGGGCAGAGUUGGGCGGCGCAGGGCGGGGCAGGGGUACUGGGUGCUUUCUCCGACAGGAUGAGCUCGCUGCAUCGGGGCUGCCGAGCUGCGAUGCCGCCGUCAACCUGGCCGGAGAGAACAUCCUCAACCCUCUCCGAAGGUCAGCCCGGGCCCUAAAGCUGAUACCCACUAGAGCACAGGGAGGAAAGUGCCCCACUGAUGAGAACCUGUGAGCUAUGGGUAAUGGAGCUCCCAGAUUCCGAACUAAACCGAUAUCCCAGACUACUCAUUCUGCUCCACUCCUCCACCCCCACCUGCUCCUCCACCCAGUCAGCCAAUUGGCUUAAGUCCUCACGUAUAACUCAGGAUGCCCAGGAAAUGAAUGCCCUUUCCCUCUACAGGAGACGUUGACUGUUUCUCUUAAGCCAAAAUUCAGGGCUUUACAAGAAAUUGGUAUGAAAUAGCUCCCAGGAAAAGAGAGAGGGAUAUGUGCACUUAUGUAUUUAGUGGCUUUUUAUUUCCCAUGUUUCUCCUGCAGAUGGAAUGAAACCUUCCAAAAAGAGGUUCUCGGCAGCCGCCUAGAGACCACCCAAUUGCUGGCUAAAGCCAUCACCAAAGCCCCACAACCCCCCAAGGCCUGGGUCUUAGUCACAGGUGUAGCUUACUACCAGCCCAGUCUGACUGCGGAGUAUGAUGAAGACAGCCCAGGAGGGGACUUUGACUUUUUCUCCAACCUCGUAACCAAAUGGGAAGCUGCAGCCAGGCUUCCUGGAGAUUCUACACGCCAGGUGGUGGUGCGCUCAGGGGUUGUGCUGGGCCGUGGGGGUGGUGCCAUGGGCCACAUGCUGCUGCCCUUUCGCCUGGGCCUGGGGGGCCCCAUCGGCUCAGGCCACCAAUUCUUCCCCUGGAUACACAUCGGGGACCUGGCAGGAAUCCUGACCCAUGCCCUUGAAGCAAACCACGUGCACGGGGUCCUGAAUGGAGUAGCUCCAUCCUCCGCCACUAAUGCUGAGUUUGCCCAGACCUUGGGUGCUGCCCUGGGCCGCCGAGCCUUCAUCCCUCUCCCCAGCGCUGUGGUGCAAGCUGUCUUUGGGCGACAGCGUGCCAUCAUGCUGCUGGAGGGCCAGAAGGUGAUCCCACGGCGAACACUGGCCACUGGCUACCAGUAUUCCUUCCCAGAGCUAGGGGCUGCCUUAAAGGAAAUUGUAGCCUAAGUAGGUCGCGGCAAGGGCCUGAGGCCUGUUCCUCACAGGCUUCCAGGUUAGGCACUGUGAAUAGGCUCAGCUCCUCUAGAGAGCUGAAGCCAUCUGGUUCUUAGAUUCCUCUCCCAGUCCUCUUUCCCAUUGUUCUGUUGCUCCACCUUAUUGUCUCAAGGCCGUAAUCUCAUCAGGUUGGGACAUUAAUCUUUUCAACUCCUUGUAAGAUUUCCCAGUUUGGUUUCUCUACAUGUCCUGCAGCUGCCCCACUUCUCCUUUACGCUGUGUAGAGAAUGCUCUGCAGUUUAGGCAAUAAAAAUA